Molecule: transfer RNA, 72 nt
Filed under: Marmota monax (woodchuck)
Lineage: Eukaryota; Metazoa; Chordata; Mammalia; Rodentia; Sciuridae
Rfam family: tRNA
About the family: Transfer RNA (tRNA) molecules are approximately 80 nucleotides in length.
Source: Rfam by way of RNAcentral
UGGAGUGUGACUCAGUGGUGGAGCGCUUGCCUCGCAUGUGUGAGGCACUGGGUUCAAUCCUCAGCACCUCAU